This 282-nucleotide ribosomal RNA is filed under the name uncultured bacterium. RNAcentral's name for it is "partial 16S ribosomal RNA". It matches the Rfam family "Bacterial small subunit ribosomal RNA", at positions 333 to 629 of the family's 1533-position model. The record is from RNAcentral.
UGGUGCCUACGGGGGGCAGCAGUGGGGAAUAUUGGGCAAUGGGCGCAAGCCUGGCCCAGCAACGCCGCGUGAAGGAAGAAGGCUUUCGGGUUGGAAACUUCUUUUAUCAGGGACGAAGCAAGUGACGGUACCUGAUGAAUAAGCCACGGCUAACUACGUGCCAGCAGCCGUGGUAAUACGUAGGUGGCAAGCGUUAUCCGGAUUUACUGGGUGUAAAGGGCGUGUAGGCGGGAGUGCAAGUCGGAUGGGAAAACUAUGGGCUCAACCCAUAGCCUGCAUUUG